GAUAAACGCUGGCGGCGUGCCUAACACAUGCAAGUCGAACGAUCCCGCAAGGGAGAGUGGCGGAAGGGUGAGUAACACGUGGAAUCUACCUCCUCGCAGGGAACAACCUCUCGAAAGAGAGGCUAAUACCCAAAGGGUCAGAAAUGAUCAGAGUCGAAAGGCGUGAGGAGAGGAGCCCGCGGCCCAUCAGCUAGUUGGUGAGGUAAUGGCUUACCAAGGCUACGACGGGUAGGGGAUCUGAGAGGAUGUCCCCCACACUGGAACUGAAACACGGUCCAGACGCCUACGGGUGGCAGCAGUGAGGAAUAUUGGACAAUGGGCGAAAGCCCGAUCCAGCAACGCCGCGUGGAGGAUGAAGGCCUUCGGGUCGUAAACUUCUUUAGAGGGAGACGAGAAAGGACGGUAUCCCUAGAAUAAGCGACGGCAAACUACGUGCCAGCAGCCGCGGUAAU
This 452-nucleotide ribosomal RNA is filed under the name uncultured bacterium. RNAcentral's name for it is "bacterial SSU rRNA". It matches the Rfam family "Bacterial small subunit ribosomal RNA", at positions 28 to 524 of the family's 1533-position model. The record is from RNAcentral.